This 433-nucleotide ribosomal RNA is filed under the name uncultured bacterium. RNAcentral describes it as "partial 16S ribosomal RNA". It matches the Rfam family "Bacterial small subunit ribosomal RNA", at positions 29 to 507 of the family's 1533-position model. The record is from RNAcentral.
AACGAACGCUGUCGGCAUGCCUAACACAUGCCAGUCGAACGAGACCUUCGGGUCUAGUGGCGCACGGGUGCGUAACGCGUGGGAACCUGCCCUUAGGUUCGGAAUAACUCCCCGAAAGGGGUGCUAAUACCGGAUAAUGUCUUCGGACCAAAGAUUUAUCGCCUUUGGAUGGGCCCGCGUUGGAUUAGCUAGUUGGUAGGGUAAAAGCCUACCAAGGCGACGAUCCAUAGCUGGUCUGAGAGGAUGAUCAGCCACACUGGGACUGAGACACGGCCCAGACUCCUACGGGAGGCAGCAGUGGGGAAUAUUGGACAAUGGGCGAAAGCCUGAUCCAGCAAUGCCGCGUGAGUGAUGAAGGCCUUAGGGUUGUAAAGCUCUUUUACCCGGGAUGAUAAUGACAGUACCGGGAGAAUAAGCUCCGGCUAACUCCGUG